This 254-nucleotide ribosomal RNA is filed under the name uncultured fungus. RNAcentral describes it as "partial small subunit ribosomal RNA". It matches the Rfam family "Eukaryotic small subunit ribosomal RNA", at positions 1316 to 1591 of the family's 1831-position model. The record is from RNAcentral. Lineage: Eukaryota; Fungi.
CGUUAAUUGCGAUAACGAACGAGACCUUAACCUGCAAAUAAGCCAGGCUAGCUUUGGCUGGUCGCCGGCUUCUUAGAGGGACGUAUCGGCGCAAGCCGAUGGAAGGUUUGAGGCAAUAACAGGUCUGUGAUGCCCUUAGAUGUUCUGGGCCGCACGCGCGCUACACUGACAGAGCCAACGAGUUCUUCACCUUGACCGAAAGGUCUGGGUAAUCUUGUUAAACUCUGUCGUGCUGGGGAUAGGGCAUUGCAAUC